Molecule: transfer RNA, 71 nt
Filed under: Marmota monax (woodchuck)
Lineage: Eukaryota; Metazoa; Chordata; Mammalia; Rodentia; Sciuridae
Description: tRNA.Ala
Rfam family: tRNA
About the family: Transfer RNA (tRNA) molecules are approximately 80 nucleotides in length. Their secondary structure includes four short double-helical elements and three loops (D, anti-codon, and T loops).
Source: RNAcentral
GGGGUUGUGGCUCAGAGGUAGAGCACUCGCUUUGCACAUGUGAGGCCCUGGGUUCAAUCCUCAGCACCACA